AAGUCGUAACAAGGUUUCCGUAGGUGAACCUGCGGAAGGAUCAUUACAAAUCCAUCCACGUCUCAUACUCUGAGACCACGUUGAAAUGUUCCCCAGUGCCUCUGCCCCUCUGUUGGUUUGGUAGUCUUGGUGUAGUGGUGCCCUUUUGGGGGUGCCUCUUCAUCUCUCCUUCCCCUCCUCCUUGGAAGCAUGCUCUGGGCUGUUAAACUAGUUACCUCUGUUGCUCAAAUGUAUCUUGAUUUCGAUCAAAAGAAAACUUGUACAACUUAUAACAAUGGAUCUCUAGGCUCUU
This 292-nucleotide unclassified non-coding RNA is filed under the name fungal sp. RNAcentral's name for it is "partial internal transcribed spacer region". The stretch from base 1 to 46 matches the Rfam family "Eukaryotic small subunit ribosomal RNA", at positions 1786 to 1831 of the family's 1831-position model. The record is from RNAcentral. Lineage: Eukaryota; Fungi.